Molecule: microRNA precursor, 63 nt
Filed under: Penaeus japonicus
Lineage: Eukaryota; Metazoa; Arthropoda; Malacostraca; Decapoda; Penaeidae
Description: microRNA mja-mir-6493 precursor
Source: miRBase by way of RNAcentral
AGCCACGUCCGGCAGGUUUUACCCCUGAAAGCCUNUCAAGGGGGAAACCGCGCUGAGCGUUAA